CUGGCAGGCACAGUGUUAUGUGUAGACUGGAUUGAAUCAAAGCAGCAUUCUCCUACUUUCCCUAUGUAUAGGAAGUGAUCCUAACAAGAAUCAGAUUUUUCCUGGACCCAUAACAGAGGAAACAACUUCUGGCACAGUAAUUCUUUGAAAUGGAACCAUGAGGGGCUUUCAGAUUCAGACAACUUUUAUUCCACAGCACUGUAAAAUAUCUUGUAACUGAAUAGAUGGCAUAAAAACAGCUAUGUGUCAGAGGUGCCAUAAAACCACGGACAAGACAGAGGAGAUCUAUGUAUGUAUAUAUAUAUACAUAUAUAUAUGGAGAGAGCAAGAGAGAGAGAGAGAUCCAUCUUAUAUACGGAGAGAGAUAAAGUCCUACGUUGGAUUAGCUGUCUGCAGAAUGUGAGCCAUUACCUCAGUUUCCCUCUAUCUCCUCUAGUCCUGAGGUCCC
This 448-nucleotide long non-coding RNA is filed under the name Sus scrofa (pig). Its description in RNAcentral is "lncRNA (ENSSSCG00050049252.1)". The record is from RNAcentral. Lineage: Eukaryota; Metazoa; Chordata; Mammalia; Artiodactyla; Suidae.